RNAcentral lists this ribosomal RNA (468 nucleotides) under uncultured bacterium. Its description in RNAcentral is "partial 16S ribosomal RNA". It matches the Rfam family "Bacterial small subunit ribosomal RNA", at positions 28 to 507 of the family's 1533-position model. The record is from RNAcentral.
GACGAACGCUGGCGGCGUGCUUAACACAUGCAAGUCGAACGGAAAGGCCCUGCUUUUGUGGGGUGCUCGAGUGGCGAACGGGUGAGUAACACGUGAGUCACCUGCCCUUGACUUUGGGAUAACUUCAGGAAACUGGGGCUAAUACCGGAUAGGAGCUCCUGCUGCAUGGUGGGGGUUGGACAGUUUCGGCGGUUGGGGAUGGACUCGCGGCUUAUCAGCUUGUUGGUGGGGUAGUGGCUUACCAAGGCUUUGACGGGUAGCCGGCCUGAGAGGGUGACCGGCCACAUUGGGACUGAGAUACGGCCCAGACUCCUACGGGAGGCAGCAGUGGGGAAUAUUGCACAAUGGGCGGAAGCCUGAUGCAGCAACGCCGCGUGCGGGAUGACGGCCUUCGGGUUGGAAACCGCUUUCGCCUGUGACGAAGCGUGAGUGACGGUAAUGGGUAAAGAAGCACCGGCUAACUACGUG